UAGGCGUAAAUGAUGCGAGUUAAGUGUGGGGGCAUCUACGAGAUGGCCCUGUGCUGUAGGGUAGCCGUUAAACUCGCUGCCUGGGGAGUACGGUCGCAAGGCUGAAACUUAAAGGAAUUGGCGGGGGAGCACCACAACGGGUGGAGCUUGCGGUUUAAUUGGAUUCAACGCCGGAAAUCUUACCGGGACCGACAGCAACAUGAAGGCCAGGCUGAAGACUUUGCCGGAUUAGCUGAGAGGAGGUGCAUGGCGUGUGACUGU
RNAcentral lists this ribosomal RNA (261 nucleotides) under uncultured archaeon. RNAcentral's name for it is "partial 16S ribosomal RNA". It matches the Rfam family "Archaeal small subunit ribosomal RNA", at positions 748 to 1008 of the family's 1478-position model. The record is from RNAcentral.